GGAAUAUUGGUCAAUGGGCGAGAGCCUGAACCAGCCAAGUAGCGUGCAGGAUGACUGCCCUAUGGGUUGUAAACUGCUUUUAUAGGGGAAUAAAGUGCGGAACGUGUUCCGUUUUGUAUGUACCCUGUGAAUAAGGACCGGCUAAUUCCGUGCCAGCAGCCGCGGUAAUACGGAAGGUCCGGGCGUUAUCCGGAUUUAUUGGGUUUAAAGGGAGCGCAGGCUGAUGAUUAAGCGUGACGUGAAAUGUAGCCGCUCAACGGCUGAACUGCGUCGCGAACUGGUUAUCUUGAGUGAGUUCGAUGUUGGCGGAAUUCGUGGUGUAGCGGUGAAAUGCUUAGAUAUCACGAAGAACUCCGAUUGCGAAGGCAGCCAACAAGGCCUUUACUGACGCUAAAGCUCGAAGGUGCGGGUAUCGAACA
Molecule: ribosomal RNA, 419 nt
Filed under: uncultured Prevotella sp.
Lineage: Bacteria; Pseudomonadati; Bacteroidota; Bacteroidia; Bacteroidales; Prevotellaceae
Description: bacterial SSU rRNA
Rfam family: Bacterial small subunit ribosomal RNA
Source: RNAcentral